This 3509-nucleotide long non-coding RNA is filed under the name Ovis aries (sheep). RNAcentral's name for it is "lncRNA (ENSOARG00000026208.1)". The record is from RNAcentral. Lineage: Eukaryota; Metazoa; Chordata; Mammalia; Artiodactyla; Bovidae.
AGUGGGUGCUGCUGAAUGAGCAGCAGAUCCCUUGGGUUAGCAUCACACAGCACAGAUGCUGGCUUGUGACAUGCUACGGAGGCCUGGUGGACUGGGAAGCAGGGGCAUGUCACAUCGCUCACAGGGUCUUGCUGCUUCUCAUCUCCAGUCUGCCCUGUACCAGUUUCCACGAGUCUACAGAGCCGGUCUUCCAUCUCCUGCUAUGGAGCAAAGUAUCAAUAUGAUGGUGCUGAGACCUGCGCCGCCCGCUGCUGGCACUCUGCUGAUUCUGACACCAUGGAUGGGUAUGCGCUACUUUUCUCAUCACAUUUCCCUGAAUUAAAAACAACAACAACAAGAAAAAGAGAGGGCUUUCCUGCAGUCCGGUGAUUAUGACUUCACACUUCCACUGCAUGCCACAUAGCACAGCCGAAAACAAACAAAACAACAACAAAAACAAACCCUUUCCCAGUUUUUUUUGUUUUUUGUUUUUUCAACUGAUUGUUCAUGAUUGUUAAUUGUUAUUUUCAAUCCUUUUUCUUCUGAGCACUCAAUAAAGUCAGACUGGGAAAUGACAACCUUGCCCCUCCAUCUCCAGCAAAGACUAUUUUUGUUUCUAGAUCUUCUAUUCCUUACUUUCAUCUCUUACGAUGAGCACUUUUCCAGGGAAGAGAAGCUGGUUUUGUUCCUCAACAUCAGAUAGCCCUGCCCGCCUUGGCUCUGGCCAAUGAGGAGCUGCCUCUAAACUCCACUUGCCCUGCAGAUGCCUGGAAGUGCUUUUCAGAAGUGCCUGCCUGUCUCCAGCCUCCAGAGGCCUGACCUUCAGUGCUUUUAAAAGAGACUUCUCAGUGCUUUGGGGAAGGACAAAACUUCUGGCCCCCUUUCUAUGCCCUUGGACAUAGUUGGUGGAAUGGUAGAAUCUUUGCCAACAGAAAUGUCCGCAUCCUAAUCCCUAGACCAUGAACAUGCUAACUUACCAAAGGGGACUUCACAGGUGUGAUCAAUUUAAGGAUUUUGAGAUGGGGAGAAGGUUCUGGAUGGUCAGGUGGGUCCAAUGUAAUCACAAGCAUCUUUGUGGAGAGAGACUAGUCAGGGUUGCUGCUGCUGCUAAGUCACUUCAGUUGUGUUCGACUCUGUGUGACCCCAUAGAUGGCAGCCCGCCAGGCUCCCCCGUCCCUGGGAUUCUCCAGGCAACAACACUGGAGUAGGUUGCCAGUUCCUUCUCCAAUGCAUGAAAGGGAAAAGUGAAAGUGAAGUCGCUCAGUCAUGUCCGACUCUUAGUGACCCCAUGGAUUGCAGCCUACCAGGCUCCUCCACCCAUGGGAUUUCCCAGGCAAGAGGACUGGAGUGGGGUGCCAUUGCCUUCUCCGAGUCAGGGUUAGGGAAGGAGUUGUGAUGAUGAGAGCAGAGACGUGGGUGGGUGUGAGGUGGAUUUGAAGACAUAACGCUGCAGGAGACGUGAACCAAGGGAUACGGCGGCCUCUAGAAGAUGGAAAAGGUAAGGACACAUUCUCUCCCUGAGCCUCUGGAAGGAGCAUAGCACAGCCCUGCCAUCAUCUUGAUUUUAGGACCUCUGACUUCCAGAACCAUGGUGUGAUACAUUUGUAUUGUUUUAACCGCUAAAUUUGUGGCAGUUUGGUGCAACAGGAAUGAGUCACUAGAACAGAGGGUGAGUGAGCACAUUUUAUGUCGUAAACCCACUGCGUAUCUGUCUCCUUAAAUCCAUUGACUCCUUCAUCUGCCGUAAGCCAAGGCGUUCUGGUGUCCAAAGUCCUUUCGUUCUGUGUCUGUUUCAGCCAGCCCUCCACGCAAACCAUUUGCAGCUUUUGAACUCACACACUGAAUCUAGAACCUUUAGUAAGCGCCCCUGUUUGAUAAAUGCCACCUAAUCUAAAAUGGUUCUCUUUCCUUCCUGCAUUAUGCUCUUCAAAAUCCACUCCCACCCUCUCUUCCCUGGUUUCUGCUGAUAUUAAUGAGCACAUUUUGCAGUUCCUUAAGUGGAUGAGACUUCUCCCAGGUCAGGCUUGAAAUUCCCUCCCUGAGUCUUCAUAGGGAGCCUGACUGCAGCCUUGUCAGAGGAGAGAAACUGGGACCCUGGAGGCAAUUAGAGAACAGUCAUCCCCCUCUUAGGUCGUCACCCCAAGUGAGCGCAUUCCAUGGAGCAACAGGGCGGGAAGGUCUUCUGCAGGUGAGGCCACUUCAUUAAGGCUGUGCAAGCACGCUCAGUCGUGUCCAACUCUUUGUGGGCACAUGGACUUUGGCCCACCAGGCUCCUGUGUCCGUAGGAUUUCCCAGGCAAGAAUACUGGAGUGGGUUGGCAUUUCCUACUCCAGGGGAUCUUCCUGACCAGGCAUGGAACCCAUGUCUCCUGCACUGGGAAGCGGAUUCUUUACCACUAGUGCCACCUAGGAAGCCCUCGUUAUAGUUGGAAUCUGCCUAAAUAUCCUCCUUCCACUCCUCUCUCUCAGCAUUGUCCUAUUUCCACACACACACAAAAAGAUGCUGUGGGGCUGGAAGUGGACAAUCCCUGAUAUAAUUCAGCGACCCGUGAAGGCAGGCCACGUCUGAUCUUUAGAUGCAUCAGCCUGUGACUAUAAAACUUGAGAUGUUUUCAGAGCAUCCAUACAAGUUCCUUGGCUCUCUUUUCCUUAAAAAUAGAUUUUGAACCCUGAACUUACUACACAUUUAUUUUUUUUUCCACUAAGCUUUCUGGCAGAAUAAAAAAGCCCAAAAAACAAAAACCAGCUUAUAUUCCGUAGGUAGGACAUCCUUGUUGCUUUCAAAUUCAAUCAGAUAAGAUCACAUCUCCACAUUUCCUGACUCUUCUGGGAGUACCAAGUACUAUUGGGGUAAAAGUUCAGGUGCAGAGAAUAGACUCCAAGCUGGCUGGUUUAAGUAAGACCUUUAUCACAGGCUAUUAACACAUUCCAAAAUCAAAGGGAAACUGCAGAAAUAAACUCUGGAUUGUACUUUCUUCUAGGAACAACUUUUAAAUUAUACGGCAGGAUCUGGCAGCCUUGAGAAUUGUUGCUUCUGCCAUGAUCCAGCAUCAGGAGGCCGCCAGCCCAGGGAUAAAAGCGGCCUGCACGCUCUCUGGACCCAGAAUCACGCUAGCUCUGCUAUUACCCAGACAGAAAGGAGGCUCCUUGCUCAUCUCACAUUCAAAUCCCAAGCACAUGUUUCUGCUCAGCAGAUCUACAUCAUAUCCAGAAAACCUGAGGGCAAGGGAGUUCUAGGAGAUGCGAGCUUUAGCAUCCCAAUCUCUGCUCUAGGAAGGCAGGUGAAGAAACCCAUCCACAGUGUUGGCUCACUUCCCUUGAGGGUUCCUAGGUGAAUUACUGUCAAGGAAAAUGGUGCAGUGCUGGUAAUCUGAGCCAAGGGGCCGCACUGGUGAGUUUGAGACAUGUCAAGAAUCUCUUCUUGGCAAAUGAGCUGGAAGUCAGAGCAAACUCUGAGAGGAAGGAGGACCAGUGGUCUUGCAAGUGAGGAAGGAAAUUCAACCUCAGUUCACCUAGGAGUCAGUUCAGAAA